GAUGAACGCUGGCGGUAUGCUUAACACAUGCAAGUCGAACGGUCCUUUCGGGGAUAGUGGCGGACGGGUGAGUAACGCGUGAGAAUCUGCCUUUAGGACGGGGACAACAGUUGGAAACGGCUGCUAAAACCCGAUGUGCCCUUCGGGGUGAAAUAUUUAUAGCCUGAAGAUGAGCUCGCGUCUGAUUAGCUAGUAGGUGAGGUAAAGGCUCACCUAGGCGACGAUCAGUAACUGGUCUGAGAGGAUGACCAGUCACACUGGGACUGAGACACGGCCCAGACUCCUACGGGAGGCAGCAGUGGGGAAUUUUCCGCAAUGGGCGCAAGCCUGACGGAGCAAUACCGCGUGAGGGAGGAAGGCUCUUGGGUCGUAAACCUCUUUUAUCAGGGAAGAACACAAUGACGGUACCUGAUGAAUCAGCAUCGGCUAACUCUGUGCCAGCAGCCGCGGUAAUACAGAGGAUGCAAGCGUUAUCCGGAAUUAUUGGGCGUAAAGCGUCCGCAGGUGGUUUUGAAAGUUUGCUGUCAAAGCGCGAGGCUCAACUUCGUACCGGCGGUGAAAACUUCAAGACUAGAGCUAGGUAGGGGUCACGGGAAUUCCCAGUGUAGCGGUGAAAUGCGUAGAUAUUGGGAAGAACACCAGCGGCGAAAGCGCGUGACUGGGCCUGAGCUGACACUCAUGGACGAAAGCUAGGGGAGCGAAAGGGAUUAGAUACCCCUGUAGUCCUAGCCGUAAACGAUGACAACUAGGUGUUGCGCG
RNAcentral lists this ribosomal RNA (759 nucleotides) under uncultured cyanobacterium. RNAcentral's name for it is "bacterial SSU rRNA". It matches the Rfam family "Bacterial small subunit ribosomal RNA", at positions 28 to 829 of the family's 1533-position model. Lineage: Bacteria; Bacillati; Cyanobacteriota. The record is from RNAcentral.